This 506-nucleotide ribosomal RNA is filed under the name uncultured bacterium. RNAcentral describes it as "partial 16S ribosomal RNA". It matches the Rfam family "Bacterial small subunit ribosomal RNA", at positions 29 to 523 of the family's 1533-position model. The record is from RNAcentral.
AGUGAACGCUGGCGGUAGGCCUAACACAUGCAAGUCGAACGGCAGCACAGAGGAGCUUGCUCCUUGGGUGGCGAGUGGCGGACGGGUGAGGAAUACAUCGGAAUCUACUCUGUCGUGGGGGAUAACGUAGGGAAACUUACGCUAAUACCGCAUACGACCUACGGGUGAAAGCAGGGGAUCUUCGGACCUUGCGCGAUUGAAUGAGCCGAUGUCGGAUUAGCUAGUUGGCGGGGUAAAGGCCCACCAAGGCGACGAUCCGUAGCUGGUCUGAGAGGAUGAUCAGCCACACUGGAAAUGAGACAGGGGCCAGACUCCGACGGGAGGCAGCAGUGGGGAAUAUUGGACAAUGGGCGCAAGCCUGAUCCAGCCAUACCGCGUGGGUGAAGAAGGCCUUCGGGUUGUAAAGCCCUUUUGUUGGGAAAGAAAUCCAUCUGGUUAAUACCCGGGUGGGAUGACGGUACCCAAAGAAUAAGCACCGGCUAACUUCGUGCCAGCCGCCGCCGUAA